UACGAAGGGGGCUAGCGUUGCUCGGAAUCACUGGGCGUAAAGCGCGUGUAGGCGGCUUUGCAAGUCGGGUGUGAAAGCCCUCAGCUUAACUGAGGAAGUGCGCCCGAAACUGCAGAGCUUGAAUACCGGAGAGGAUGGCGGAAUUCCCAAGUAGAGGUGAAAUUCGUAGAUAUGGGGAAGGAACACCGGUGGCGAAGGCGGCCAUCUGGACGGCUAUUGACGCUGAGACGCGAAAGCGUGGGGAGCAAACAGGG
RNAcentral lists this ribosomal RNA (254 nucleotides) under uncultured bacterium. RNAcentral's name for it is "partial 16S ribosomal RNA". It matches the Rfam family "Bacterial small subunit ribosomal RNA", at positions 524 to 777 of the family's 1533-position model. The record is from RNAcentral.